AUGCGGGAGGGGAGAGCCAAUGGUGGGGUCGACGGAGAGAGAGGCGGCGCUGAUGCCGCCGCCGGUCUCGUGGGCGCGCUUCGGCGGCAGAGGCCGGGCCAGUCCCACCCGUCCUCGUCCGGCUCGGCCGCGUCGGCGGAAGGGGGAGCCAAGAAGCAGGGGAGGCGCAAGAGCAAGCGGCGGGAGCAGGUCGUGAGGGCGAUUCGGGACCGGCUGCCUCCCCCGCCCGCUUGCUGGGGCAACGUCUCGGUGGUCCAGGAGAGGAGGGGCCGGAGGGAGAGGCCUGACGAUCACGGCCGCGGCGACGCCGUCCGCGGCGAGGAGGAGGGGCGCUCUGGCGCGGGAACCGCCGCGUUGCCGGCGUGGUGCUGCCUGUGCCCCGAAGGGGACUGCUCGCUGGAGCCCAACCCGAGCGCCAACGGCAAGGAGGACCCCGGCCUCCGCUCCCUCAUCGAGCGCAACGACUUCUACUCCGACGACUGCAACCCGCACGCCGCCGCCGCCGCCGCCGCCGCCGAAGAGGACGACGACGACGACGCAAGCCCCGCCGCCGAUUUUGAUUAG
RNAcentral lists this ribosomal RNA (564 nucleotides) under Triticum aestivum (bread wheat). Its description in RNAcentral is "partial small subunit ribosomal RNA". The record is from RNAcentral. Lineage: Eukaryota; Viridiplantae; Streptophyta; Magnoliopsida; Poales; Poaceae.